UUGGAGGGCAAGUCUGGUGCCAGCAGCCGCUGUAAUUCCAGCUCCAAUAGCGUAUAUUAAAGUUGUUGCAGUUAAAAAGCUCGUAGUUGAAUUUCGGGAUCAAUUAAUUGGUCGUGCCUCUGGUACGCACUGAUUUUAUUGGUUUCUCCCUUCUGACGAGCCAUGAUGUCAUUAAUUUGGUGUCGUGGAGAAUCAGGACUGUUACUUUGAAAAAAUUAGAGUGUUUAAAGCAAGCUAACGCUUGAAUACAUUAGCAUGGAAUAAUGAAAUAGGACGUUUGACCCUAUUUUGUUGGUUUCUAGGAUCGACGUAAUGAUUAAUAGGGAUAGUUGGGGGCAUUAGUAUUCAAUUGUCAGAGGUGAAAUUCUUGGAUUUAUUGAAGACUAACUACUGCGAAAGCAUUUGCCAAGGAUGUUUUCAUUAAUCAAGAACGAAAGUUAGGGGAUCGAAGACGAUCAGAUACCGUCGUAGUCUUAACCAUAAACUAUGCCGACUAGGGAUCGGAAGAUGUUAAUUUUUUAACGACUCAUUCGGCGCCUUACGGGAAACCAAAGUGUUUGGGUUC
This 565-nucleotide ribosomal RNA is filed under the name uncultured Glomeromycotina. RNAcentral's name for it is "SSU rRNA". It matches the Rfam family "Eukaryotic small subunit ribosomal RNA", at positions 548 to 1114 of the family's 1831-position model. Lineage: Eukaryota; Fungi; Glomeromycota. The record is from RNAcentral.